RNAcentral lists this small RNA (51 nucleotides) under Sinorhizobium meliloti 2011. RNAcentral's name for it is "putative ncRNA". Lineage: Bacteria; Pseudomonadati; Pseudomonadota; Alphaproteobacteria; Hyphomicrobiales; Rhizobiaceae. The record is from RNAcentral.
AGGCCGACCGAAUCGCGCAUUACAAAUGCGUAACGUUUGCGUGAGUGUUCG